UACGGAGGGGGCUAGCGUUGUUCGGAAAUACUGGGCGUAAAGCGCACGUAGGCGGCGCAGCAAGUCAGGGGUGAAAUCCCGGGGCUCAACCCCGGAACUGCCUCUGAAACUGCAGUGCUAGAAUCUUGGAGAGGCGAGUGGAAUUCCGAGUGUAGAGGUGAAAUUCGUAGAUAUUCGGAAGAACACCAGUGGCGAAGGCGACUCGCUGGACAAGUAUUGACGCUGAGGUGCGAAAGCGUGGGGAGCAAACAGG
Molecule: ribosomal RNA, 253 nt
Filed under: uncultured bacterium
Lineage: Bacteria
Description: partial 16S ribosomal RNA
Rfam family: Bacterial small subunit ribosomal RNA
Source: RNAcentral